CCUACGGGGGGCAGCAGUGAGGAAUAUUGGUCAAUGGACGAGAGUCUGAACCAGCCAAGUAGCGUGAAGGAUGACUGCCCUAUGGGUUGUAAACUUCUUUUAUAUGGGAAUAAAAUGUUCCACGUGUGGGAUUUUGUAUGUACCAUAUGAAUAAGGAUCGGCUAACUCCGUGCCAGCAGCCGCGGUAAUACGGAGGAUCCGAGCGUUAUCCGGAUUUAUUGGGUUUAAGGGGAGCGUAGGUGGAUUGUUAAGUCAGUUGUGAAAGUUUGCGGCUCAACCGUAAAAUUGCAGUUGAAACUGGCAGUCGUGAGUACAGUAGAGGUGGGCGGAAUUCGUGGUGUAGCGGUGAAAUGCUUAGAUAUCACGAAGAACUCCGAUUGCGAAGGCAGCUCACUGGACUGCAACUGACACUGAGGCUCGAAAGUGUGGGUAUCAAACAGGAUUAGAUACCCUAGUAGUC
RNAcentral lists this ribosomal RNA (460 nucleotides) under uncultured bacterium. RNAcentral describes it as "partial 16S ribosomal RNA". It matches the Rfam family "Bacterial small subunit ribosomal RNA", at positions 338 to 795 of the family's 1533-position model. The record is from RNAcentral.